RNAcentral lists this ribosomal RNA (1888 nucleotides) under human gut metagenome. RNAcentral describes it as "bacterial LSU rRNA". It matches the Rfam family "Bacterial large subunit ribosomal RNA", at positions 3 to 1984 of the family's 2925-position model. The record is from RNAcentral.
UUAAGCUAAUAAGAGCGCAGGGAGAAUGCCUUGGCAUUGGGAGCCGAAGAAGGACGUGGUAAGCUGCGAAAAGCUGCGGGGAUCAGCAAGCAUGAAUUGAUCCGCAGAUAUCCGAAUGGAGCAAUCCGCAUGAGUGAAGCUCAUGCAUCAUACAGUGAAUAAAAUAGCUGUAUGAGGGGAACCGCCUGAACUGAAACAUCUAAGUAGGGCGAGGAAGAGAAAUCAACCGAGAUUCUGUGAGUAGUGGCGAGCGAAAGCGGAAGAGGCUAAACCGGAAGUAGCAAUACCUCCGGGGUUUUGGACGACAUUUAGUAUUCAUUUGAGCGAGCUGAAAUGUAUGGGAAGACAUACCGAAGAAUGUGAGAGUCAUGUAAGCGAAGUGAGAAUGAGCGAGUCGAAUCCGGAGUACCGCGGGACACGUGAAACCCCGUGGGAAGAUAGGGGGACCACCCUCUAAGCCUAAAUACUACCCAAUGACCGAUAGCGAAUAGUACUGUGAAGGAACGGUGAAAAGAACCCCGGGAGGGGAGUGAAAAAGAACCUGAAACCCUGUGCUUACAAGCACCGAGAGCACAUCAACGUGUGAUCGGGUACCUAUUGUAGAAUGGUCCGGCGAGUUAUUGUAUGCGGCGAGGUUAAGAGCUUAAGGCUCGGAGCCGAAGCGAGAGCGAGUCUGAAAAGGGCGUCAAGUCGUAUGCAAUAGACCCGAAACCGUGUGACCUACCCAUGUCCAGGCUGAAGUGGAGGUAAAACUCCAUGGAGGGCCGAACGCACGUCCGUUGAAAAGGCCGGCGAUGAGAUGUGGGUAGCGGAGAAAUUCCAAUCGAACUCGGAUAUAGCUGGUUCUCUCCGAAAUAGCUUUAGGGCUAGCCUCGUAAUAGAUUACCGGAUGUAAAGCACUGAAUAGGCUAGGGGUCGAGAGAUUACUGAACCUUAUCAAACUAAGAAGGCCGGAUAAUUGUUUUACGGGAGUCAGACAGCGUGAGAUAAGUUUCGUUGUCGAAAGGGAAAGAGCCCAGAUCUACAGCUAAGGUCCCUAAAUACUGUUAAGUGGAAAAGGAUGUGGAAUUGCAUAAACAACCAGGAUGUUGGCUUAGAAGCAGCCAUACAUUAAAAGAGUGCGUAAUAGCUCACUGGUCGAGUGACUCUGCGCCGAAAAUUCAACGGGGCUAAACAGUAUACCGAAGCUUAGGAUUGUGUCUUAUGACACAGUGGUAGGAGAGCGUUGUGUAAGGGGUGAAGUCAGAGCGGAAGCGCUGGUGGACUUUACAGAAGUGAGAAUGCCGGAAUGAGUAGCGAGAAUUAUGUGAGAAUCAUAAUGGCCGAAAAUCUAAGGUUUCCUGAGGAAGGUUCGUCCGCUCAGGGUAAGCCGGGAGCUAAGGUGAGGCUUAAAUGCGUAGCCGAUGCACAUACGGUUGAAAUUCCGUAGCCGUCGAAACUUAAAUGCAGGGACGCUUUGAAAGGACUUGAGCCGGGCGAUGGUUGACCCGGUCGAAAGGGACCGAAAAUUAGUAGGGAAGCAAGUCUGGACGAAGACAAGAAAAGCUGCAUGGUAUGCUAAGGCGCCCGUACCGCAAACCGACACAGGUAGAUAGGAAGAGGAUUCUAAGGCCAACGGGAGAAGGGUUGUUAAGGAACUCGGCAAGUUGACCCCGUAACUUCGGAAUAAGGGGUGCCUGCGAGAGCAGGUCGCAGAGAAUAGGCCCAGGCAACUGUUUAUCAAAAACACAGGUCUCUGCUAAAUCGAAAGAUGACGUAUAGGGGCUGACACCUGCCCGGUGCCGGAAGGUUAAGAGGAGAUGUGAGAGCAUUGAAUUGAAGCCCCGGUAAACGGCGGCCGUAACUAUAACGGUCCUAAGGUAGCGAAAUUCCUUGUCAGGUAAGUUCU